RNAcentral lists this microRNA (21 nucleotides) under human gammaherpesvirus 4 (Epstein-Barr virus). RNAcentral's name for it is "Human gammaherpesvirus 4 (Epstein-Barr virus) miR-BART20-5p". The record is from RNAcentral. Lineage: Duplodnaviria; Heunggongvirae; Peploviricota; Herviviricetes; Herpesvirales; Orthoherpesviridae.
UAGCAGGCAUGUGUUCAUUCC